RNAcentral lists this ribosomal RNA (633 nucleotides) under Bacillus paralicheniformis. RNAcentral describes it as "bacterial LSU rRNA". It matches the Rfam family "Bacterial large subunit ribosomal RNA", at positions 1306 to 1934 of the family's 2925-position model. Lineage: Bacteria; Bacillati; Bacillota; Bacilli; Caryophanales; Bacillaceae. The record is from RNAcentral.
AGUAGCGAAAGAGGGGUGAGAAUCCCCUCCACCGAAUGCCUAAGGUUUCCUGAGGAAGGCUCGUCCGCUCAGGGUUAGUCGGGACCUAAGCCGAGGCCGAAAGGCGUAGGCGAUGGACAACAGGUUGAUAUUCCUGUACCACCUCCUCACCAUUUGAGCAAUGGGGGGACGCAGGAGGAUAGGGUAAGCGCGGUAUUGGAUAUCCGCGUCCAAGCAGUUAGGCUGGGAAAUAGGCAAAUCCGUUUCCCRUAAGGCUGAGCUGUGAUGGCGAGCGAAAUAUAGUAGCGAAGUUCCUGAUUCCACACUGCCAAGAAAAGCCUCUAGCGAGGUGAGAGGUGCCCGUACCGCAAACCGACACAGGUAGGCGAGGAGAGAAUCCUAAGGUGAUCGAGAGAACUCUCGUUAAGGAACUCGGCAAAAUGACCCCGUAACUUCGGGAGAAGGGGUGCUCUGUUAGGGUGCAAGCCCGAGAGAGCCGCAGUGAAUAGGCCCAGGCGACUGUUUAGCAAAAACACAGGUCUCUGCGAAGCCGUAAGGCGAAGUAUAGGGGCUGACGCCUGCCCGGUGCUGGAAGGUUAAGAGGAGCGCUUAGCGUAAGCGAAGGUGCGAAUUGAAGCCCCAGUAAACGGCGGC